Molecule: ribosomal RNA, 497 nt
Filed under: uncultured bacterium
Lineage: Bacteria
Description: partial 16S ribosomal RNA
Rfam family: Bacterial small subunit ribosomal RNA
Source: RNAcentral
GAUGAACGCUGGCGGCGUGCCUAAUACAUGCAAGUCGAGCGAACAGACGAGGAGCUUGCUCCUCUGACGUUAGCGGCGGACGGGUGAGUAACACGUGGAUAACCUACCUAUAAGACUGGGAUAACUUCGGGAAACCGGAGCUAAUACCGGAUAAUAUAUUGAACCGCAUGGUUCAAUAGUGAAAGACGGUUUUGCUGUCACUUAUAGAUGGAUCCGCGCCGCAUGAGCUAGUUGGUAAGGUAACGGCUUACCAAGGCAACGAUGCGUAGCCGACCUGAGAGGGUGAUCGGCGACACUGGAACUGGGCCACGGUCCAUGCUCCUACGGGAGGCAGCAGUAGGGAAUCUUCCGCAAUGGGCGAAAGCUUGACGGAGCAACGCCGCGUGAGUGAUGAAGGCCUUCGGAUCGGAAAACUCUGUUACUAGGGAAGAACAAAUGUGUCAGUAACUAUGCACGUCUUGACGGUACCUAAUCAGAAAGCCACGGCUAACUACGUG